UGAGGAACAUGACCUUCGGCGGGGGAUAGCCGGCCCAACGGCCGGGUAAUACCGCGUACGACCACUCGGGGACAUCCCUAGGUGGUGAAAGCAGCAAUGCGCCGAUGGAGUGCCUCGCGGCCUAUCAGCUAGUUGGUGAGGUAACGGCUCACCAAGGCGACGACGGGUAGCUGGUCUGAGAGGAUGGCCAGCCACACUGGGACUGAGACACGGUCCAGACUCCUACGGGAGCAG
This 234-nucleotide ribosomal RNA is filed under the name uncultured bacterium. RNAcentral describes it as "partial 16S ribosomal RNA". It matches the Rfam family "Bacterial small subunit ribosomal RNA", at positions 118 to 347 of the family's 1533-position model. The record is from RNAcentral.